UGUCUCAGUCAGUCGUGAAGAUUGUUUCUC
Molecule: non-coding RNA, 30 nt
Filed under: Rattus norvegicus (Norway rat)
Lineage: Eukaryota; Metazoa; Chordata; Mammalia; Rodentia; Muridae
Source: RNAcentral